AGUUCCUGGCUGGGACCAGAGGAGUGAAGAAAGCUGCUCCUCUGCAGCCAAAGGAGCCUGACAAUUAGACAGACAGGCUUGUGGUGAGCUGACCUUACAUAGCUUGGAGAAGACCUGAGGAUGGCGGCUCUGAGGAUUAGGACACCAGCAUGGAGAAUAUGUGAACAGAUCCUGCUAUUACAGCUCCACAUCCAGCACUACAGAGCAGUAUGGUCUCUUUCAAAAUAUAAAGCUGCUGAUGCUGAACUACUGAAUGUUUUAUAGCUUUAUUAAGAAAGAAGAAUUCAGUAUAUGACAGGAUAAUAUUAUUUCAGUUUAAAUAAUGCCUUCCAAAUCAGUCAUCACCAGCUGCAAGGAAUGAUUUGGGAGGAUAAUAGCUUGCACAAUAAAAGGAAGUUAACAUGCUUAAAUCAAUGUACUGAAAACCAGAUUAGAUGCUGUUAUUAUUGCUAAUGAUCUUGCAGUAAAGUGGCCAAUAGUGACUUAGAUAAAUGUGGGAACUGGUCCAAAAAAAGAUAAAGAAACCUCUAGUGUUGGUCUGGGGAUAAUACCAACAGCACUUUGUUCUGAUGUGCAACAGGCUCAUGUCUGACCAUCUCUAGAACUUCCUAUGGACCUGUUGAAAUUUACACAUUAUCUUUUUAUAUAGGGUGAGAUUUUAAAAAGUGUUCAGUGUUGAUCUCUGGUCUACUGAGGUUAAUGAUUUAAGUGCUAUUAUUUCAAUGGGAGCAUAAUUAGACGGUGCUGAGGACUUUUGAAAAGCCUAUACUGUGCUCAUCUCCAUAAGUAUGAAAACAUCAUGGAUAUGGUACUAGCCAUCUCCGGGGCAGUUUGAGCUGGAAUUCUACUGCAGUAAUCUUGACUGUCAAUAUAUGGAGCAGCAGUGGCUUGAACCCUACAGGAAGAUUUUUAAUGGUACAUUUUGCAAUAGAAUGAAGACUCUUAAAGGCCUUCAUGAGAAGGGAGAGACAAUAGCUCACACUCAAAUGCUUGGACAUGGUGUGUUUUCCUGUCCUACCACUGGGGGGAAAAAAGGAACAUUACUGUACACUGAAUAUUGUAAGAGGUUGUAUUAGCUUGUGUGUUGAGCAGUAGCAAUCACAUAAUCACAUGAUUAACAGACAGCUCAGCAUGCAACUGAGGAGGUUGAAAAAAUAUAAUUGCGAAGUUGGGUAUAAAACUCAUCCAUACUGGCAUGAGGAGCUACUUCUUUCACUAUGAGAUGGCUCAGUACAAAGGGUAACUCAAAUGCACAACAUAAUAAAACUGAACAAGCAUCAGCCAUAUUGAAUUAAAACACUUGGGCAGUAUAACAUUGACUGAGUGAUUCGCUGCCUCUCAGAGCUUUUGUUCUCCCUGUUUCAGAGAAACCUAGAAGGAAAUACCAAACACACAGUAUCAAAGAUAAAACAACGAGGAGUCCUUGUGGCACCUUAGAGUGUCAGCAAUGCAAAGCAUGAAAAGAAUCCUUGGGGAAUCCAUAACUGUCAACCCUUUCCAAGCCUAAUUAUGUGCAGACAAGACAACUCUGCACCUGAGGACUGGGGGCUGUUUUCAAUUGUUGGCUGUGUGCGUGUUCUCUACACGUGCUGCACUGGCUCUUGCCAGAUAGUCCAUACAGCAGACUUCAGUCGAACUGCCCAAGAAGACCAUAGACUCAGUUCAGUAGUGAAGGCUCUCGGCCAUGAUUAUUGCUGACAAAAAAUUUCCAGUUGGAAUCCAUGCAGACUCUUUCUCCUUCUCGGCUGGACUGUAAAAUCACUCAGCUAGUCAGCUAACUAAUGAACCAACCAAUCAGUAUUAAGUAUAUAAAUGAAUAACAUUGUUACAACAAAAAUAAAAAUCUGAG
Chelonia mydas (Green sea turtle) is the source of this 1849-nucleotide long non-coding RNA. RefSeq lists it as uncharacterized. NCBI's taxonomy places the organism in Eukaryota, Metazoa, Chordata, Testudines, Cheloniidae. The transcript has 5 exons. The record is from RefSeq and is a predicted model, not a curated record.